RNAcentral lists this ribosomal RNA (326 nucleotides) under uncultured eukaryote. RNAcentral describes it as "partial 18S ribosomal RNA". It matches the Rfam family "Eukaryotic small subunit ribosomal RNA", at positions 1470 to 1796 of the family's 1831-position model. The record is from RNAcentral.
CCCUUAGAUGUUCUGGGCCGCACGCGCGCUACACUGAUGCAUUCAACGAGUCCAACCUUGACCGAGAGGUCCGGGUAAUCUUUGAAACUGCAUCGUGAUGGGGCUAGAUUAUUGCAAUUAUUAAUCUUCAACGAGGAAUGCCUAGUAAGCGUGAUUCAUCAAAUCGCGUUGAUUACGUCCCUGCCCUUUGUACACACCGCCCGUCGCUCCUACCGAUUGAGUGUGUUGUUGAGGAGUUUGGAUUGGCCUCGGAAGGUGGUUCGCCACCGUCCGUAGCUGAGAAGUUCUCCAAACCGCCCCACUUAGAGGAAGGAGAAGUCGUAACA